This 353-nucleotide unclassified non-coding RNA is filed under the name soil metagenome. RNAcentral's name for it is "partial contains 5.8S ribosomal RNA, internal transcribed spacer 2, and large subunit ribosomal RNA". The stretch from base 1 to 120 matches the Rfam family "5.8S ribosomal RNA", at positions 35 to 154 of the family's 154-position model. The record is from RNAcentral.
GAUGAAGAACGCAGCGAAAUGCGAUAAGUAAUGUGAAUUGCAGAAUUCAGUGAAUCAUCGAAUCUUUGAACGCACAUUGCGCCCGCCAGUAUUCUGGCGGGCAUGCCUGUUCGAGCGUCAUUACAACCCUCAGGCCCCCGGGCCUGGCGUUGGGGAUCGGCGGAGCGCCCCCUGCGGGCACACGCCGUCCCCCAAAUACAGUGGCGGUCCCGCCGCAGCUUCCAUUGCGUAGUAGCUAACACCUCGCAACUGGAGAGCGGCGCGGCCACGCCGUAAAACACCCAACUUCUGAAUGUUGACCUCGAAUCAGGUAGGAAUACCCGCUGAACUUAAGCAUAUCAAUAAGCGGAGGA